GGGCAACUCUAGUAAUACCCUUGAUAGUCUUGCUCCAUUAGACCAGAGUCAUUCCGUAACCGACCCUCAGCCUCCAGCUCUAAUAUUAGGCCCAAGAACCCUCUCCAGAAUCCGUAACAUGGCUUGGGACAGUGCGUCGUCCCAACCUAACGAUCAUGAGACCCAAAUCCUGUCUCAGUCACCGGUGAAAUAAGCAUCUCACUAGUAUCCAGAUUAGGUAGGUUGCAUAACAAUGAGGACCCAGCUCGAGGCCCUCUACGGC
Molecule: long non-coding RNA, 262 nt
Filed under: Gossypium barbadense (sea-island cotton)
Lineage: Eukaryota; Viridiplantae; Streptophyta; Magnoliopsida; Malvales; Malvaceae
Description: long non-coding RNA (GBAR_LNC002995)
Source: RNAcentral